GACAAAUGCUCUGACAGGCUUUUUUUCCAAUGUGCAGUUCUCCAUGUGCUGCUUGGUGCUCUGACCAGAGACCUCUGCAUGGUAUGAGGCUCAGUGCGUGGGUUAAGUGGCAGAAGCCUGUAUGGACACCUGCAGCUUUUCAUGCCUGUAUGGAACAUGGCUGGGUAAGAUGGUGGCAAGAGCGAACAGCAGAAGAUGGGAGGACAGAACCUCUACAGCAUCCUGUGGUAUCUUGCAAUAAAACUGCCAGCAGGUACCUAGGAUAUAUUAACAGCCUCUCAUGGACAGCCUUUUCCAACAGUGCUGCUAUAAAGCCCAAUGCUAGGGUAAACCUGCCAGUCCAUUGCAGGAGGAAGAAUACUGAUGCAGUCCUGGGAUCAUGGGAUCAUGCUGGCUGUCUUCUAGAAGACACAGCUGUUCCUGCUCACAUGGAGCCCACAGCCAUUUCCCUUUGAGGGAGGGGGCUGUGUCUGGGAUGCAGAACCUCAGGAAAUGGUGCCUGUAUCUGCACUGCUGUGUCUCAUGUCCAUCCCUAGGGAGCUGGACCUCUGUGCUGAGGCUUUGGAAGUGCUCACUGAGUGCUGCAGGACAGUGAGCACUGCAUCUUCAUAAAUCAGGUUGGAUAUUAUGAAAAACUUAUUCUCUGAAAGAGUGGUGAGGCAUUGGAACAGGCUGCCCAGGGAGGUGGUGGAGUCACUGUCCCUGGAGGCAUUCAAGAAACGUGGAGAUGUGGUAGGGGUAUGAUUUAUUGGGCAAUAUUGAUAGUAGGCGGAUGAUUGGACUGGAUGAUCUUAGAGGUCUUUUACAACUUUAAUGAUUCUGUGAAAUGCACCCUUCCGGAUUUAUUGGAGCUUAUGCCAGAUCUCUUAUAAUGUACAGAAAAGGAGAUGUGUUCAGGUCAAUGUUUACAAGCAGUUAUAGUGUGCACCCAUUAAAUACCUCCCCUGGCCCCCAGCCACUUGUAAUAUGUGCUGUGCUCUGAGCUCUGAUCUUCUGCCUGCUCCAAGCUAUAUUUGAGUAUCCAACAAUGACUGUAAAUUAGCUGAUGCAUUUUAAUGUAGAAUAAUAGAUUUCUGGUGAAGAGCUUUCUUCUUUGUGAGUCCUUUGUGGGCUUAUUUGCAUCUUUCCACUGUGUCUGCAUGUGUGCUAGAAGUUCUGGAGAUUAACCUUAAUCUCUGACUGAAAGUAAAGCAAAGUGACAUUAGUUUGUAGAGUGGAUUCUGUGUGAGAUACAUUUAGUAAUUUUUAUUUUUCCCUUCAGUGGUCAAAAGUAAACUGCUCCCACUGAUAUUACUGGACCUAGAUUUUUAUUUCUUUCCCUCCCUCUUGAGAAUCUUUACCACUCAAGUAACUGGAGUUUUAGAGAGCUUUUGGAUCUAAUUCAUACAUGGUGUGCAGUUCCUGAGUGUGUCCUUCCUGAUAAGAAAUCAGUUGUUUCUUUGGAAGUAUUUUUUCAAUAAACAGCUUAAACUGAAUCCCUGUGGCUGUUCU
Molecule: long non-coding RNA, 1491 nt
Filed under: Phasianus colchicus (ring-necked pheasant)
Lineage: Eukaryota; Metazoa; Chordata; Aves; Galliformes; Phasianidae
Description: lncRNA (ENSPCLG00000000584.1)
Source: RNAcentral